GCAUUAGUGGUUUAGUGGUAAAAUCCAUCGUUGCCAUCGAUGGGCCCCGUGUUCGAUUCACGGCUGAUGCA
Molecule: transfer RNA, 71 nt
Filed under: Pyricularia oryzae 70-15
Lineage: Eukaryota; Fungi; Ascomycota; Sordariomycetes; Magnaporthales; Pyriculariaceae
Also listed under: 10 other names
Description: tRNA-Gly (GCC) (tRNA-Gly-GCC-2-1)
Rfam family: tRNA
About the family: Transfer RNA (tRNA) molecules are approximately 80 nucleotides in length.
Source: RNAcentral